UGAGACCAGAGAGGGUAGGAGAAUUGCUCACCAUCUGACAGGGCUUCAGCCACCCCACACGUGUCUUGCUGCUUCUCUAACAGAAUAAGCCAUAAACGGCUAUGAUGCCGGGGCACGGGGCUCCGGAGCAGUGUCAGUGUAACGUGAUACGAGAGUGCAGAAGAAAGAGAGGUCCCUUCCAGCUAAGAGGAUCAGAGAAGGUCCCGAUGUUGCUCCUUGCAGCCACAGUAAAGGGCAUUCUCUUUUCCCCAAACCAAGGAGCUCACCUCAGUCUCUUUUCUGUGUAAGUGAAACACUUCCAGCUUCUGCACCAACGUCGAAGGCUAAACCCAAGAGAGGAGUGCCGCUGACUGCCGCUCGGAGCCACAGCAUCGCAGCGAGGCAAGGACCUACUCCUCCUCCUGUGACAUCCCGACAGGUGCUCACCCAGCUUGUGCUCACACAUCCUCAGUGGCAGGGAGCUCACUACCUCAUAAGGCAAGGAAAACAAAAUGGAAAAAGCCGAUCCUGCUUUGAAGGAACUCAGUUAAAGGGAGAGAUACAGAGGACAGCAGACACCUGUGCGGCCAUCGCUGAGUCUGCGCACAGAGGGAAUGAAAGUGCAAGGAGGCCUGUAGGGAGAAGGCGGGAGAGCCAGCCCCAGCGAGGGCGGGGCCGAGAGCUGGAGCAGCGGCUCAGGGCUGGGGAAGUGGAGGCUGAAUGCGAGUGGAAAGGAGUGAGAGGACUCACAAAGGCCUCCCGUGGCUGUGGGGUACAGCUGUGCACUUAUUUGUCUGUCUAUAUGACUGUAGUCUGAAUCCCAGAUUCCAAGUCACCGGUAGCGAGCACAGUGCCUCCCCAGAGUCAGUGCUCAAUUAUCAUUUGCUGAUGAGCUUUGAAUAAAGGGCCGAGUUCUCGGGGCUCAGGGCACAGGCGCCGUGGAGGUGGCGGGUGGCAGAGGCGUCUGCAAAGUUGGGGACGGGGCUGAGAAAGCUGGGGAGAGACGAAGAGAGCUUGCACUUUGAUGAAUGUGUAGAUAUUUCAGAGAAGCUUGGACCAGCAAUUUGGCCAAAAUAGCACCAAAAUGUGGGAAGCGUAAUCCUAGCUUUAUGCGCCAUAACUAAAUAUCAUUAAAAUCUGGUAGAUAAUUAAUACCCAAUAAAGGAAAGUUACAGUAAUUAUUUUAUAAUUUACCCAAAAUCUUAUUAUAUGUAGCAGUAUCUAAGGUCAGUUGUCUACCUCAACUUGAUGGUUUUGCUAAAUAAAUGACUAAAACAAAAAAGAUCCUUUAGUAAUAAAGGUUAAAAUGCAAGACUUGAAGUAAAGUAGAUUUAAUUUCUGAAUAUAGCUUUGCCACAUUCUGUGACCUUAGACAAUUAACCUAACCUCUCUGAUCUUUAGGCAUCCUUUCCAUAAAAUGGAGCUAAAAUGACAAAUUUCACUGUAAAUUAAAUGAUGUGUGUUUCAGUUACCUAUUGCUGCCUACCCAACCUCCUCUAAAGUUAGUACCUUGAAAAAGCAACUUCCUGAGUCUCUGGGCUCUGCCAGGCAGUUCUGCCGUGUGGCUGUGGGCAGAGCCCAGCUGGGGCUGGAGUCCUCUGAAGGUUCAGUUGCACUGGAUGUCCGAGAGGGUGCCCUCCUAGAGCUGGCAGUUGACGUCGGCCGGGAGCUCAUCGGGGCCUGUCGAUUGGAACACCUAAAAUGGCCUUUCCAGGGGGCAUGGAAUUCUCAUAGCCCUGGGGCUGGUUUCCAAGAGGGAGCAUCCUAAGAGCCAGCGUUACAGAAGACCUGGGCACAAAUUGCUUCUUGUGGCCUUGCCCCGGCAGUUCCAGAUCAUGAUUUCUGCUGUGUUCUGUUGGCCAAAGCAAAAGCGGAGUUUGCAACACAUUUUCAUUUCCAAAGGAUAAAAU
This is a long non-coding RNA of Equus caballus (horse), 1889 nucleotides long. The record is from Ensembl. NCBI's taxonomy places the organism in Eukaryota, Metazoa, Chordata, Mammalia, Perissodactyla, Equidae.